UGCUAAGCUAAGUUUGCGACUCAAGAGUUAAGAAGAAAUGCACAAUACAUCUGUUGAGAAAUAUUGUUUGUACUUUUAGUUCAAAUUGUGUAUCUGAUUACUCUGAUGGCCCAAUAUUUUAUAUUUCUAGGAGCUCACUUAUAGAUGCUCCUAGAAAAUGUUAUUUGGGGGUGAUGCAAAGGAGAAGCAUAUUGUAAGCACGGACCCGACA
This 211-nucleotide long non-coding RNA is filed under the name Solanum tuberosum (potato). RNAcentral describes it as "long non-coding RNA (STUB_LNC001117)". The record is from RNAcentral. Lineage: Eukaryota; Viridiplantae; Streptophyta; Magnoliopsida; Solanales; Solanaceae.